UUAUUCAAACCGUAGAAGUAGACUUAGAGAAUAUUUUAAAAAGUGUGACGAAUAUGGCCUUAGAGAAAGAAAGGUUCCUAAACCUUGCCCGACUAGGUUGAACUACAUGUACAAAAGUUUAGUAGUAGCGUACGAAUGUAGAAACCCAAUUUACGCUACGUAUAAUUCUCGGGAUUGUGGGGAGGAAGAUAAUGACAUGCUAACUACACAAGAUU
RNAcentral lists this long non-coding RNA (215 nucleotides) under Nicotiana benthamiana. RNAcentral describes it as "long non-coding RNA (NBEN_LNC029057)". Lineage: Eukaryota; Viridiplantae; Streptophyta; Magnoliopsida; Solanales; Solanaceae. The record is from RNAcentral.